This 615-nucleotide long non-coding RNA is filed under the name Androctonus crassicauda. Lineage: Eukaryota; Metazoa; Arthropoda; Arachnida; Scorpiones; Buthidae. The record is from RNAcentral.
CGAGCAUCUGUUUUUUUUUUUUUUUUUUCUUCGUGUUCUUGUUAUUGGUGUUGUUGUUGUUAUUAUUAUUCGAAAAUUUUCGCGAUAAAAAAUUAAAUUGAUUUUUAUUUUCGCAUUUUUGUCGUUUCGAUAGGAUGCGAACUUUAGGCGAUUGGAUGUUUGGCAAAAAUAUUUUCGGUUAUUAUUCGCGUUGGUGCCAAUUCCAGUCGGUAAAUUGGCAUGACACUGUUUCGGAUAAUCGUUGUACUGCGAAAACUAAUUACUGUAACCGUUUAUUUUUAGUUAUAAAGCGUAGCAAUCAUCAUAAAAUUUUACGAAAGGCAGAAAUGUGUUUUUGGAAAUGCCAUAUAUUUACGAUACUCGUUGUUUACUCUUCCGGAUGUUGUAUAAUGUGGCUUCUUUUGUAUUCGAAGACCCUCUAGUUGACCCCAUUUUAUGGUUCGGAACAGGUAAACAGUAUUCAUUCUCUUAUUCCGUGAGAAUGUCCAGGUUGACCAUCUGUUUUUCGUUUCUGAGAAGUAAACACAAUCCCAGUUUAAAAUUCAUUUCGGAAAUUUUACAAAUUUUUAAAAAAUUAUUUCCGAAUUUCGAAACUAUAUUAAUUUUUUAAAGCCA